This 293-nucleotide ribosomal RNA is filed under the name uncultured bacterium. RNAcentral's name for it is "partial 16S ribosomal RNA". The record is from RNAcentral. RNAcentral also lists the same sequence under 2 other names.
GGACUACUGGGGUAUCUAAUCCCGUUCGCUCCCCUGGCUUUCGCGUCUCAGCGUCAGCAGGCGUCCAGGACCUCGCUUUCGCCACGGGCGUUCCUUCCGAUCUCAACGCAUUUCACCGCUCCACCGGAAGUUCCAGGUCCCCCUACGCCCCUCCAGGAAGGUCGUAUCCGUGCCCGUUCCCCGGUUGAGCCGGGGGAUUUCAGCGCCGGACGUGCCCUCCCGCCUACACGCGCUUUAAGCCCAGUGAUUCCGAAUAACGUUCGCACGGUUCGUCUUACCGCGGCUGCUGGCAC